This 254-nucleotide ribosomal RNA is filed under the name uncultured bacterium. Its description in RNAcentral is "partial 16S ribosomal RNA". It matches the Rfam family "Bacterial small subunit ribosomal RNA", at positions 524 to 776 of the family's 1533-position model. The record is from RNAcentral.
UACGUAGGGGGCAAGCGUUGUCCGGAUUUAUUGGGCGUAAAGAGCUCGUAGGUGGCUCGGUAAGUCGGGUGUGAAAUUUCGAGGCUCAACCUCGAGACGCCACCUGAUACUGCUGUGGCUAGAGUCCGGUAGGGGAGCGUGGAAUUCCUGGUGUAGCGGUGAAAUGCGCAGAUAUCAGGAGGAAUACCGGUGGCGAAAGCGACUCUCUGGACGGCAACUGACGCUGAGGCACGAAAGCGUGGGGAUCAAACAGG